GAUAACGGCGUCGAGCGGCGGACGGGUGAGUAAUGCCUGGGAAAUUGCCCUGAUGUGGGGGAUAACCAUUGGAAACGAUGGCUAAUACCGCAUAAUAGCUUCGGCUCAAAGAGGGGGACCUUCGGGCCUCUCGCGUCAGGAUAUGCCCAGGUGGGAUUAGCUAGUUGGUGAGGUAAUGGCUCACCAAGGCGACGAUCCCUAGCUGGUCUGAGAGGAUGAUCAGCCACACUGGAACUGAGACACGGUCCAGACUCCUACGGGAGGCAGCAGUGGGGAAUAUUGCACAAUGGGCGCAAGCCUGAUGCAGCCAUG
RNAcentral lists this ribosomal RNA (312 nucleotides) under Vibrio sp. N3mML9. Its description in RNAcentral is "bacterial SSU rRNA". It matches the Rfam family "Bacterial small subunit ribosomal RNA", at positions 78 to 396 of the family's 1533-position model. Lineage: Bacteria; Pseudomonadati; Pseudomonadota; Gammaproteobacteria; Vibrionales; Vibrionaceae. The record is from RNAcentral.